Molecule: long non-coding RNA, 4336 nt
Organism: Homo sapiens (human)
Lineage: Eukaryota; Metazoa; Chordata; Mammalia; Primates; Hominidae
Exons: 3
Source: RefSeq, a predicted model, not a curated record
GUAGGUCAGAGCUAGUCUAGGUGCACCAGUCACAGGACACUGAGACUCAGGGUGGCAGAUGUCAAGUCCUUCAUUGUUCAGUUUAAGCUCAGAGAAAGUCGUUUGGGAAUUUAUGUCUCUGUGGUGUGGCACUGAACCAAUGGCUGAGAGGCAUAGGAGUAUAAACACUUCCGUUCCCUUGUGCCUGAUGAAGAUGGCUUCGAGCAAAGCAGUUGCUGCUACAGAUUGAAUGCAUCUGGGCCAUCCGUGGGUUACUGGCUUAAGGAUUUUUGAUAGGAAGACUACGGGUUGUCAGUGGCCUCCAUGCUUUUGGGUAAGUACUUCUAGGGCUACGCCCUUGUUUACAGUGGCAAAAAGAUGGAAAGGCUGCUUAAGGAGGGUAAAGCUAGGACGGGGGCAGUUACUAAUAGAUGUUUUAAUCUUCCCACCUAUUGGAUUUCUGGUAAUUGCCCAAUGAGGCGGUUUAGCCCGUCUUUCAUGAGCUUUUUGUAUAAGCGUUUUGUUUUUAAGGCAUAAGAGUCUAUCCAUAGAUGACAGUAACUGACUCAUUCUAACAUUUUCUAAGUUCUUGUUUAGUCUCCGGCAGAGGCAAGGAUAUGAUGCCUUCAAUCCAUUCAAACUCAGUUUUCCAUUUGCCUUUGUUAAUUAAAUGACUUGUUCAAAUAUUUGACUAAAUAAAUUUGGAGACUCCAUAAACCCUUGGGAUAAGACUGUCUAUCAGUAUUGCUAUUUUUGACCAGAGUGAGGGUCUUCUCACUGAAAGGCAAAUAGGUCCCGGCUGUCCUCUGCUAAUGGACAAGCCCAGAAGGCAUCUUUUAAAUUUAUUACUGUAAACCAGUGGUGACAGCUUGGGAUCCUACUGAUAAUAGUAUAAGGAUUGGGAACAACAGGGUGUGUAGUUUGGAUUAUUUGAUUAAUAGCUGUAAGGUCUUGUACUGACCAGUAUGACCCAUCUGGCUUCUUUACAGGCAGUAUUGGAGUGUUAUAGGGAGACAUACAGGGUUUCAGAAGCCCAUCACAGAGAAGACCUUCAAUUAUCAAUUAUAUGUUUUAAAUUUACCCUGGCUUUUAAAGGAAUAGGGUACACUGCUUUCGCUUUACUACUUCCCCAGGGGUUUUUAAUUUAACAUGAAUCAGAGGAAUCUGUAACUUUCCUUGAUUCCCAUCUAUUGACCAUACCUUGGGAUAAAUGUGUUCUUCGUCUGCGGUGGUGAGCAAGUUUAGGGAGGGGAGGAAUUUUCCAUGAUUGAUUUGUAGGCCUAAGCCUAAUUCUAGCAUUAAAUCUCUUCCUAAAAGAUUUUUCUCUGCUUCCAGAAUUAACAGGCAUCUAAUAUUAGCUGAUUUGCUUUUAUAUAUGACUUUUGUUCUUUUUCCCAUUUGGGACAUUCUCUUUUGAAGUGACCUAUUUUUAAUUUGAAACAUUUGUUUUGUCUUCUUUCUCUCCCUUUGCUCCUCCCUCUCUCUUUGCCUCUUUUUUCUCCUCCUCUCUCUCUCUGCCUCUCUGUCUCUCUUUCUCUCUCUCUUACUGUCUCUCUCUCUCCCUGACUCCCUCUGUUCCCUCUGUCAGUCCUUUUCUCUCUAAGAUUUUUUUUUUCCACCUUUGAGUCUCCUGGCUUUACUCUCUUGUACCCUUUAUGUUGCCUGGAGGAUGGAGGUCUAGGUUCUUUAUAGGUUCUGGCCCCCUGGAUACUUUGUUAUACGGUUGAAAGCAGAAUUUUUGCCUUCUGCUUUCAUUUUUCUUUAUCUUUUCUUACAUAUACUUUUUGGGCUUCUCUUAGAAGCUCUUCUAUAGGUUUAUCUUUCUAGUUCUCUAUCUUUUGUAAUUUCUUGUUAAUGUCUGGCCAACUGUUAGUGACAAAAUGAAGUCUUAACAUUCCCUGCCCAAGAGGAUCCUCAAGACCUAGACCAGCAUAUUUUCUCAUUUGUUCCUUUAAUUUGUCUAAAAAUUCUAUAGGCCCUUCAUCUUCCCCUUGCUGUACGUCAAAUGUUUGGGUAAGAUUCUGGGUUCGGGGUACUGAUUCUUUAAUGCCCUUUAUUAUCAAUUCCCUAAGGUCUUGCAUAUUUUCUUGGUUGGCUGCAUUGUUAUUGUCCCACCGGGGCUCUUGGGUGGGAAAUUUUUGAUCUGCUGUAGGAAUAUUUUGGCUGGGAGGGUAUUCACAUACCUGACCUCCCAUUGCAGCUCUAUGGAUUAUGCCUCUUUCUUCUCCCAAGAAGAGGGGAAAGGAAAGCUCUGACCAUCCUUUUUACAUUGCUCUGUCUCACAUUGAAGUCCUUUUAGGAAUGGGAACUCAAGCUGGUAGUAAGUGGGCCUUUGGGAUGAUUCCCAAGAGGCAGGGUUAUAAGGAGGGGGACAACAGGGAUAGGAGAAUGUUCUGAAACAGCAGUUGCUUUUUCUUGUUUUUGGUUUUAUCCUUCUAAUAUUUUAAUAUUAGGCCUAGGGGAUUAUUAGGGGGAGUAUUAUUGUUGCUAGCUUUAUCCUUUUUAUCUCUUACCUUACUUGGGGUAUUUCACACCUUGAUGGUUUUGGGGUGAGGCUCAAUUUCCCUUACUGGAAAUUUCUUGCCUUUUGGGGUGAGGCUCAAUUUCUCCUACUGGAAAUUUCUCCCCUUUUGGGGUGAGGCUCAAUCCCCCCAGUGGAGAUUCCUCACUUCUUUUUAACCUCCAGGACACCCUGAGCAAGGAGUACUUCACCACCCCUGCAACUUUUCCUGCCUUGGUAUGUCCCGACCAAGGAAUACUUCACUGCCUCUGCGGCUUUUCUUACCUUGGCCCUGACCACCAAGAAAAUACUUUGCCGCUUUUGCGAUGUUUCUUACCUGGGUCUGUGCACAGAGUUACCUGGUCGCCGUGGUAUGUAAGAAUCCUUUCCCCAAGCUGCCAGCCUGUUUCUUCCUGCAUCGCUGAGAGUCCAGGUUUAUUCAUCACACCAGGUGGGUCUUGAUUCCUUACCCCUGAGGCCGCCACAACAAGGCAGUGGGGCACGCCUUCUCAUGGGAGAGGCAGAAGACCCUUUCCCAGAGGAGAAUGGGAAUCCUAGAUGAACCCCCAAAUUUGUUGGAAAUAAAUUUUCAGUGCUGCAAAAGAAAUAGCACUCUAAUAUGAAUUUUCUCAGCAAAGAAAUUUUACUUCUAAAGAAGGGUGCGUCUCACAGAUGGAGCAAUGGCGAGAGCACACCUAAACAAGGGGGAGGGGAAGGGGUUCUUAUCCCUGACACAGGUAGCCCCUACUGCUGUGUUGUUUCCCUAUUGGCUAGGUUUGGACCACACAGUCUAAGCUAAUUCCGAUUGGCUAUUUUAAAGAAAGCGGGAGUAUGAGCCAGAGUGGCAGGGUGAGUAGUUUGGCAGGAAGGAUGGUUACAGAGCAGGUGAUUCAGGAUGACUAAGAACAGAGUAGGUGACCAAGGGUGACUAAGAUCAGAGCAGGUGAUAGAGGCUAGGAGGGGGUUGUUCACUGAAACUGGGGGCAAGGAGACGUAAAGAACGAGGAAGUCAAACUUUAAAAUGAAGAACAAAGAACAGAGGAGCUGAACAUACUGAUACAUUGAUUUCUUGGAGAGGAUCUCAGAACUCAUUAUACUUAACAAUUUACAGGCUAAAACCUUUGAAGAGGAAUUUAUUACGUCUUACAGGAAUUUGUCACCAGUAGCCUAAAUAACUGCUUUGCACCCCAUUGCCAUCUUAUUAGUAGAGAAGCAUCUUAGGGGAUCCCAUGGAAAAUUUUGCUCAGGGUUCCUGAGGCCUCUUGUGGUGCUAAACUCUAUGGGAUAAAUAUUUAAAGAGCACAUUGCAACUUUCUUCCUCAUGCAGCCAGUCCAACAAGGAUCUAUGUGCCUGGGCUGGGCUGGGUGAGGCAUUUAUAGGCAGGCAUAUCAGAUUCACACACCCUAAGGAUUUCACAUUUCAUCUAGUCCGGUGCCUCUACACUGGCAAAGAAAACUGGUGUUCUAUGAGUUAAACCAAAGUGCCCAUCAUUACAAGUGAACAGUGACAGUUUUAAUUUAUAGGGAAAAAAUGGAUACGUACUCUCAAUGUCAAGCUCUUUCCUUUAAACUUUUCUGAAUUAUUUAAUUCCUGCAACAUUACCCUUUAUUAUUAAUUCAUCUUUAUGCUCAUUUAUUAAACAAAUGUGUUUGAUAAGUCUACUAUGAACAUGUGCCAGGUUUUGUGUUAAGGGCCUAAAAUAUUACUAUACAAAAACAAGACAUCUUCUGCUCUCAUGAGAUCUCUACAUCUAAUGAUGUAGACACUAAUCAAGUUGUUACACCUGUGGAGUCAGGCUGUUCAGAUCCCAGCAUCUCCACUUACUAGCUGAAUCACCUUCUUAAAACUGCAUAAUC